RNAcentral lists this long non-coding RNA (300 nucleotides) under Androctonus crassicauda. Lineage: Eukaryota; Metazoa; Arthropoda; Arachnida; Scorpiones; Buthidae. The record is from RNAcentral.
UGUACUCGUCUCAUGCGAGUACACGAAGAUGUGAGGUGGAAGCUGCACGAUCGGGCGCCGCAGGAGCUUCGAUCGGACCGGCAUCCACUUUUUCUUCCAGUGCCUUGUUCCUACUCUAAUAUGUUGUCUACAGGAAGACUGGCCAGGGGGAUUGACAGGGGGAUGGCUGUUAAGAGGUCCCCACACUCUUUAACACCAUACGGAACGGGGGGGAACCGGGGGACGGGCUGGAGCGGGCGGGCAUCUGCACUGUGCCUGUCACUGACCGUCGCAGUGGCCAGUCGGCAUCCUGCAUGGGGG